This 408-nucleotide ribosomal RNA is filed under the name uncultured bacterium. Its description in RNAcentral is "partial 16S ribosomal RNA". It matches the Rfam family "Bacterial small subunit ribosomal RNA", at positions 28 to 526 of the family's 1533-position model. The record is from RNAcentral.
GACGAACGCUGGCGGCGUGCUUAACACAUGCAAGUCGAACGGAGUGGCGAACGGGUGAGUAACGCGUAAUCAACCUGCCCUUCAGAGGGGGACAACAGUUGGACACGACUGCUAAUACCGCAUACUGAAGGAGGGGAUUGCGGUUGUUUAGCUCGUUGGAGGGGUCACGGCCCACCAAGGCGAUGGUCAGUAGCCGGUCUGGGGGGAUGAACGGCCACAUUGGGACUGAGACACGGCCCAGACUCCUACGGGAGGCAGCAGUGGGGAAUCUUCCGCAAUGGGCGAAAGUCUGACGGAGCAACGCCGCGUGAGUGAUGACGGCCUUCGGGUUGUAAAGCUCUGUUAAGCGGGACGCGGUACCGGAAUAGAAAGCCACGGCUAACUACGUGCCAGCAGCCGCGGUAAUAC